AUUGAACGCUGGCGGCAUGCCUUACACAUGCAAGUCGAACGGCAGCGGGGGAGAAGCUUGCUUUUCCUGCCGGCGAGUGGCGAACGGGUGAGUAAUACAUCGGAACGUGCCCUGUAGUGGGGGAUAACUAGUCGAAAGAUUAGCUAAUACCGCAUACGACCUGCGGGUGAAAGCGGGGGAUCGCAAGACCUCGCGCGAUUAGAGCGGCAGAUGCCUGAUUAGCUAGUUGGUGGGGUAAAAGCCCACCACGGCGACGAUCAGUAGCUGGUCUGAGAGGACGAUCAGCCACACUGGGACUGAGACACGGCCCAGACUCCUACGGGAGGCAGCAGUGGGGAAUUUUGGACAAUGGGGGCAACCCUGAUCCAGCAAUGCCGCGUGAGUGAAGAAGGCCUUCGGGUUGUAAAGCUCUUUUGUCAGGGAAGAAACACCGGCUCUAACACAGUCCGGGAAUGACGGUACCUGAAGAAUAAGCACCGGCUAACUACGUGCCAGCCGCCGCGGUAA
RNAcentral lists this ribosomal RNA (507 nucleotides) under uncultured bacterium. RNAcentral describes it as "partial 16S ribosomal RNA". It matches the Rfam family "Bacterial small subunit ribosomal RNA", at positions 30 to 523 of the family's 1533-position model. The record is from RNAcentral.